Molecule: long non-coding RNA, 624 nt
Organism: Papilio polytes (common Mormon)
Lineage: Eukaryota; Metazoa; Arthropoda; Insecta; Lepidoptera; Papilionidae
Exons: 3
Source: RefSeq, a predicted model, not a curated record
UGACAAUAUAUUUAUGACACGGGACUCGUGACAAUAUUUUUAUAACAUGUGACAGGUUACAGGGUACACGUGACAAUAUAUUUAAGACACGUGACAGGUUACAGGGAACACGUGACAGAUGACAGGUGAUGCGUGACAGUUGACUGGUUACUGUAACUCGUAAUUCACGUGACAGGAUACUAGCGAUAUACGUGACAAGUUCUAAUUGACACGUGACAGGUUACAGGUGUCACGCGGCAAAUAACAGGUGAAGCAGGACAUAUGUGACAGGUAACAGGGGACAUGCGAUACGUGACAGGUAACAGAUAAGUGACACUUGACAGGUUAUUCCAAAUUUCAUCGAGAUUCAGCAGUUUAGGCUAAAAAAUCUAACAAAUAUACAACUAAAUUUUCGCAUUUAUAAUAUUAGUAUUCAUUCCAGGUAUAUGGAGAGAGCUGAAGAAAUCAAAAGAUAUCUGAAAGGAGACCAUCAAGUACAGCGCACGGAGGACCAGCAGAGAUACGUGCACGGUGAAGUAGAGGUCGCCCAAACUGUACAAGAUACUGCAGCUUGCGUGCAAGAUGCGGUAAAACAACCAGAUGACCUCGAACAGAACAAAAAUGAGGUGAUAUUCUGAUGAUGGA